UUUAAAGAGAGUUUGAUCCUGGCUCAGGACGAACGCUGGCGGCGUGCCUAAUACAUGCAAGUCGAACGAACGGAGGAAGAGCUUGCUCUUCCAAAGUUAGUGGCGGACGGGUGAGUAACACGUGGGCAACCUGCCUGUAAGUUGGGGAUAACUCCGGGAAACCGGGGCUAAUACCGAAUGAUAAAGUUUGGCGCAUGCCACGCUUUUGAAAGAUGGUUUCGGCUAUCGCUUACAGAUGGGCCCGCGGUGCAUUAGCUAGUUGGUAGGGUAAUGGCCUACCAAGGCAACGAUGCAUAGCCGACCUGAGAGGGUGAUCGGCCACACUGGGACUGAGACACGGCCCAGACUCCUACGGGAGGCAGCAGUAGGGAAUCUUCCGCAAUGGACGAAAGUCUGACGGAGCAACGCCGCGUGUAUGAAGAAGGUUUUCGGAUCGUAAAGUACUGUUG
Molecule: ribosomal RNA, 449 nt
Filed under: Listeria monocytogenes
Lineage: Bacteria; Bacillati; Bacillota; Bacilli; Caryophanales; Listeriaceae
Description: bacterial SSU rRNA
Rfam family: Bacterial small subunit ribosomal RNA
Source: RNAcentral